UCCCUGGAUCUACCAAGGCAGUCUCGUAUGAAAUACAACAUACGACAGGGGUUGCGUUCGUUACGACACUUAAGUCGACGCCUCACGACACGAACUGACGACAACCAUGCAGCAGCUGUCACUGGUCCAGCCGAACUGACUCCGUAGUUUCCUACAGAUUCGACCAGGAUGUCAAACCCAGGUAAGGUUCUUCGUUUCGUAUCGAAUUAAACCACAUGGGACGCAGAUUGUGUGUUUCCCCGUCAAUUCCUUUGAGUUUUAGCCUUGCGGCCGUACUCCCCAGGCGGGAUACUUAACGCGUUAGCUUGCGCCACUCCCAAAUUGCUUCAGGAAUAGCUAGUAUCCAUCGUUUACGGCUAGGACUAC
This 366-nucleotide unclassified non-coding RNA is filed under the name uncultured bacterium. Its description in RNAcentral is "contains 16S-23S intergenic spacer region". The record is from RNAcentral.